GACGAACCGUCCUAACGUUGUUCGGAAUCACUGGGCUUAAAGGGCGCGUAGGCGGCCCAGCAAGUCGGGGGUGAAAGCCCACGGCCUAACCGUGGAAGUGCCUCCGAUACUGCGGGGCUCGAGGGAGGUAGGGGCAGCGGGAACUUCCGGUGGAGCGGUGAAAUGCGUUGAUAUCGGAAGGAACGCCGGUGGCGAAAGCGCGCUGCUGGACCUCUGCUGACGCUGAGGCGCGAAAGCCAGGGGAGCAAACGGG
Molecule: ribosomal RNA, 253 nt
Filed under: uncultured bacterium
Lineage: Bacteria
Description: partial 16S ribosomal RNA
Rfam family: Bacterial small subunit ribosomal RNA
Source: RNAcentral